AACUAUUAAAAAUAUUCAAAAAAUCAAUUAAAUCAUGAAAAAUAUUAAUAAUGAUCCAAAAAAUAAUUUUAAUUCAGAAUAUGAAAGAAGAAUUUAUUUAAAUUUUUUUGUGAAACUCUAAUAUUUUUUGGAUCAAUAUUAAAAUUAAUAUGAAUUAAUGAAAAUCAAAUGAAAUAAAAUGAAAAUAAAAAAAAAAAAAACGUGAACCACUUGAUUUCC
Molecule: long non-coding RNA, 219 nt
Filed under: Lathyrus oleraceus (garden pea)
Lineage: Eukaryota; Viridiplantae; Streptophyta; Magnoliopsida; Fabales; Fabaceae
Description: Pisum sativum (pea) long non-coding RNA (PSAT_LNC032663)
Source: RNAcentral